AUACGGGAGGCAGCAGUAGGGAAUAUUGGUCAAUGGAUGCAAGUCUGAACCAGCCAUGCCGCGUGCAGGAAGAAGGCCUUCUGGGUUGUAAACUGCUUUUACCAGGGGAUAAAAAUCUCAUGCGUGAGAAAUUGAAGGUACCUGGUGAAUAAGCCACGGCUAACUACGUGCCAGCAGCCGCGGUAAUACGUAGGUGGCAAGCGUUGUCCGGAUUUAUUGGGUUUAAAGGGUGCGUAGGCGGCCUUGUAAGUCAGUGGUGAAAUACUCCAGCUUAACUGGAGGGGUGCCAUUGAUACUGCAGGGCUUGAGUACAGAUGAGGUAGGCGGAAUUGACGGUGUAGCGGUGAAAUGCAUAGAUAUCGUCAAGAACUCCGAUAGCGAAGGCAGCUUACUAAGCUGUAACUGACGCUGAGGCACGAAAGUGUGGGGAUCAAACAGGAUUAGAUACCCUGGUAGUCCG
RNAcentral lists this ribosomal RNA (460 nucleotides) under uncultured bacterium. RNAcentral describes it as "bacterial SSU rRNA". It matches the Rfam family "Bacterial small subunit ribosomal RNA", at positions 339 to 797 of the family's 1533-position model. The record is from RNAcentral.